RNAcentral lists this ribosomal RNA (513 nucleotides) under uncultured Methanofollis sp. RNAcentral's name for it is "bacterial SSU rRNA". It matches the Rfam family "Archaeal small subunit ribosomal RNA", at positions 339 to 856 of the family's 1478-position model. The record is from RNAcentral. Lineage: Archaea; Methanobacteriati; Methanobacteriota; Methanomicrobia; Methanomicrobiales; Methanomicrobiaceae.
GCGCGAAAACUUUACAAUGCAGGCAACUGUGAUAAGGGAACCCCGAGUGCCCGUAUGGACGGGCUGUUCAGGUGCUUAAAAACCACCUGGAGAAAGGGCCGGGCAAGACCGGUGCCAGCCGCCGCGGUAAUACCGGCGGCUCGAGUGGUGGCCACUAUUACUGGGCUUAAAGCGUCCGUAGCUUGGUCGUUAAGCCUCUGGGGAAAUCUUCCGGCUCAACCGGAAGGCGUCUCAGGGGAACUGGCGGCCUAGGGAUCGGGAGAGGUGAGAGGUACUCUGGGGGUAGGAGUGAAAUCCUGUAAUCCUCAGGGGACCACCUGUGGCGAAGGCGUCUCACCAGAACGACUCCGACAGUGAGGGACGAAAGCUGGGGGAGCAAACCGGAUUAGAUACCCGGGUAGUCCCAGCCGUAAACGAUGCGCGUUAGGUGUAUCGGUGACCACGAGUUACCGAGGUGCCGAAGGGAAACCGUGAAACGCGCCGCCUGGGAAGUACGGUCGCAAGGCUGAAACU